AUUGAACGCUGGCGGCAUGCUUUACACAUGCAAGUCGAACGGUAACAGGCCUUCGGGUGCUGACGAGUGGCGAACGGGUGAGUAAUGCAUCGGAACGUACCCCAGAGGUGGGGGAUAACGCAGCGAAAGCUGUGCUAAUACCGCAUGUGAUCUGAGGAUGAAAGCGGGGGACCGAGCAGCAAUGUUUGGCCUCGCGCCUUUGGAGCGGCCGAUGUCGGAUUAGCUAGUUGGUGGGGUAAAGGCCUACCAAGGCGACGAUCCGUAGCUGGUCUGAGAGGACGACCAGCCACACUGGGACUGAGACACGGCCCAGACUCCUACGGGAGGCAGCAGUGGGGAAUUUUGGACAAAGGGCGCAAGCCUGAUCCAGCAAUGCCGCGUGCGGGAAGAAGGCCUUCGGGUUGUAAACCGCUUUUGGCAGGAACGAAACGGUGUCCGCUAAUACCGGGCGCUAAUGACGGUACCUGCAGAAUAAGCACCGGCUAACUACGUG
This 493-nucleotide ribosomal RNA is filed under the name uncultured bacterium. Its description in RNAcentral is "partial 16S ribosomal RNA". It matches the Rfam family "Bacterial small subunit ribosomal RNA", at positions 29 to 507 of the family's 1533-position model. The record is from RNAcentral.